This 23-nucleotide microRNA is filed under the name Strongyloides ratti. RNAcentral's name for it is "str-miR-7880e-3p". The record is from miRBase by way of RNAcentral. Lineage: Eukaryota; Metazoa; Nematoda; Chromadorea; Rhabditida; Strongyloididae.
UUUGCGACCAAAUCCAGGCCACG